This 800-nucleotide small RNA is filed under the name Pongo abelii (Sumatran orangutan). RNAcentral's name for it is "processed transcript". Lineage: Eukaryota; Metazoa; Chordata; Mammalia; Primates; Hominidae. The record is from RNAcentral.
UGGCGGUCGGGGGUGCUGGUGGGAGCCGCGUGUCCAGCGGGAGGGACCUGAAUUGCGUCCCCGAAAUAGCUGACACACUAGGGGCUGUGGCCAAGCAGGGGUGAGGGCCGGACCUCCACGAGCGGAAUGCGGGGUUUGAUUUCCUCUGCAUGCCUGUCUUCCAUCCGCGUUUCAAGAGGGAGUUCAUUCAGGAACCUGCUAAGAAUCGGCCCGGUCCCCAGACACGAUCAGACCUACUGCUGUCAGGAAGGGACUGGAAUACGCUAAUUGUGGGAAAGCUUUCUCCAUGGAUUCGUCCAGACUCAAAAGUGGAGAAGAUUCGCAGGAAUUCCGAGGCGGCCAUGUUGCAGGAGCUGAAUUUUGGUGCAUAUUUGGGUCUUCCAGCUUUCCUGCUGCCCCUUAAUCAGGAAGAUAACACCAACCUGGCCAGAGUUUUGACCAACCACAUCCACACUGGCCAUCACUCUUCCAUGUUCUGGAUGCGGGUACCCUUGGUGGCACCAGAGGACCUGAGAGAUGAUAUAAUUGAGAAUGCACCAACUACACACACACAGGAGUACAGUGGAGAGGAGAAAACGUGGAUGUGGUGGCACAACUUCCGGACUUUGUGUGACUAUAGUAAGAGGAUUGCAGUGGCUCUUGAAAUUGGGGCUGACCUCCCAUCUAAUCAUGUCAUUGAUCGCUGGCUUGGGGAGCCCAUCAAAGCAGCCAUUCUCCCCACUAGCAUUUUCCUGACCAAUAAGAAGGGAUUUCCUGUUCUUUCUAAGAUGCACCAGAGGCUCAUCUUCCGGCUCCUCAAG